Molecule: ribosomal RNA, 502 nt
Filed under: uncultured bacterium
Lineage: Bacteria
Description: partial 16S ribosomal RNA
Rfam family: Bacterial small subunit ribosomal RNA
Source: RNAcentral
AUUGAACGCUGGCGGCAUGCCUUACACAUGCAAGUCGAACGGCAGCAUAGGAGCUUGCUCCUGAUGGCGAGUGGCGAACGGGUGAGUAAUAUAUCGGAACGUGCCCUAGAGUGGGGGAUAACUAGUCGAAAGACUAGCUAAUACCGCAUACGACCUACGGAUGAAAGUGGGGGAUCGCAAGAACUCAUGCUCCUGGAGCGGCCGAUAUCUGAUUAGCUAGUUGGUGGGGUAAAAGCUCACCAAGGCGACGAUCAGUAGCUGGUCUGAGAGGACGACCAGCCACACUGGGACUGAGACACGGCCCAGACUCCUACGGGAGGCAGCAGUGGGGAAUUUUGGACAAUGGGGGCAACCCUGAUCCAGCAAUGCCGCGUGAGUGAAGAAGGCCUUCGGGUUGUAAAGCUCUUUUGUCAGGGAAGAAACGGUUCUGGAUAAUACCUGGGACUAAUGACGGUACCUGAAGAAUAAGCACCGGCUAACUACGUGCCAGCCGCCGCAGUAA